AGUGAACGCUGGCGGUAGGCCUAACACAUGCAAGUCGAACGGCAGCACAGAGGAGCUUGCUCCUUGGGUGGCGAGUGGCGGACGGGUGAGGAAUACAUCGGAAUCUACUCUGUCGUGGGGGAUAACGUAGGGAAACUUACGCUAAUACCGCAUACGACCUACGGGUGAAAGCAGGGGAUCUUCGGACCUUGCGCGAUUGAAUGAGCCGAUGUCGGAUUGGCUAGUUGGCGGGGUAAAGGCCCACCAAGGCGACGAUCCGUAGCUGGUCCGAGAGGAUGAUCAGCCACACUGGAACUGAGACACGGUCCAGACUCCUACGGGAGGCAGCAGUGGGGAAUAUUGGACAAUGGGCGCAAGCCUGAUCCAGCCAUACCGCGUGGGUGAAGAAGGCCUUCGGGUUGUAAAGCCCUUUUGUUGGGAAAGAAAUCCAUCUGGUUAAUACCCGGGUGGGAUGACGGUACCCAAAGAAUAAGCACCGGCUAACUUCGUGCCAGCCGCCGCAGUAA
Molecule: ribosomal RNA, 506 nt
Filed under: uncultured bacterium
Lineage: Bacteria
Description: partial 16S ribosomal RNA
Rfam family: Bacterial small subunit ribosomal RNA
Source: RNAcentral